Molecule: non-coding RNA, 1168 nt
Organism: Grammomys surdaster
Lineage: Eukaryota; Metazoa; Chordata; Mammalia; Rodentia; Muridae
Source: the annotation of a RefSeq genome assembly
UGAAAUUGUCUCAAGAUGGGCAGUGUGAAGACUGUUAUCUCACUCAUGUUUCAUAUUCCAGAGUCUCAGAAAGAUCCCACCAUCUACCCACUGAGACCCCCACCAUCUCCCAUCCCAAGUGACCCAGUGAGAAUCGGCUGCCUGAUUUAUGAUUUCUUCCCAUCCGGAACUGUGACAGUGACCUGGGGCAAGAGUGGGGAGCAUAUAACCACCAUAAACUUCCCAGCUGCCCAGACCUCUGGGGGACGGUACAUCAUGAGCAGCGAGUUGACCCUGCCAGUUGAAGAGUGCCCAGAAGAAACAACUGUGAAAUGCUCUGUACAACUUAACUCUAACAACGUCAAAGAACUAAAUGUGGAAUGCCCUGAUAUUAUUCCUACUCCUACUCCUACUCCUACUCCUCGCCCUCUACCCUGCCAUCGCAGCCUGACACUGCAGCAGCCAGCUCUUGAGGACCUGCUCCUGGGUUCAGAUGCCAGCCUCACAUGCACUCUUCAUGGCCUGAGAGACCCUGAGGGAGCCGUCUUCACCUGGAGUCCCACCACUGGGAAGGAAGUAGUGCAGAAGGAACCUGAGCAGGACGUCUGCGGCUGCUACAGUGUAUCCAGCAUCCUGACUGGCUGUGCUGAGCAAUGGAACCGUGGAACGACCUUCACAUGCACAGUUACCCAUCCUGAACUUAAACAGGAAACCUUAACUAAAACAAUUGCCAAAGUCACAGAGAACCUCUUCCCACCCCAGGUCCACCUGCUACCGCCGCCGUCGGAGGAGCUGGCCCUGAAUGAGCUCGUGUCCCUGACGUGCCUUGUGCGAGGAUUCAACCCGAAGGAAGUGCUGGUGCGUUGGCUACAUGGAAAUGAGGAGCUGCCCCCUGAGAGCUACCUAGUGUUUGAGCCCCUAAAGGAGCCAGGCGAUGGACCCACCACCUACCUGGUGACAAGCGUGCUGCGUGUGUCAGCUGAAAUCUGGAAACAGGGUGACCGGUACUCCUGCAUGGUGGGCCACGAGGCCUUGCCCAUGAACUUCACCCAGAAGACCAUCGACCGUCUGUCGGGUAAACCCACCAACGUCAACGUGUCUGUGAUCAUGUCAGAGGGAGAUGGCAUCUGCUACUGAGCCACCCUGCCUGUCCCUACUCCUUAAAUAAACUCUGUGCUCAUCCAAAGUA